CGGUUGCCAGGCAACUAGUUGAGCGAGGGCGUUGUUUUCACUUGUGUAUCAUCAUAUUUAUUGUUGUGAGUUGAAGAGAUGGCUCAGUGGCUAAGAGCAGAGGCUUGGAGAAGACCCAGGUUCUAUUCCUAGCAUCCAUUGGACGACUCGCAGCUCCAAGAGAACUAACGCCAGUUCCUGGAGAACUGACGCCCUCUUCUGGUUUCUAUGGGCAUUGCACGCAGUGGUGCUUAAACGUGUUCAGGCAACAUAGUCAUAUACAUAAAAUAAAAAUGGGGGUUGGGGAUUUGGCUCAGCGGUAGAGCGCUUGCCUAGCAAACUCAAGGCCCUGGGUUCGGUCCCCAGUUCCGAAAAAAAGAAUAGAAAAAAAAAUGGAUUCACCAGCUCAAGUCCAGCGCUGUCCUCUAAGAGGCUGCCUACCUGGAACAUCCUGAGCGGAACGAUAAAGAAAACGGUGCUUACUCCCUGGGAUGUGUAAGAUUUAUUUCCGUUCAUGGAUGUUUUCCCUGCCUGUAUGUAUAUGCAUGCACCACAUGCAUGCGGAGGCCGGAAAACGGUAUAGGAUCCCCUGGAACUGGAGUUAUAGAUAGUCAAAACCAUCAUGCAGGUACUGGGAACCGAACCAAGGCCCUCUUCAAGAACGACAAGUACUCUUUUUUUUUUUUUUGGUUCUUUUUUUCGGAGUUGGGGAUCGAACCCAGGGCCUUGCGCUUCCUAGGCAAGCGCUCUACCACUGAGCUAAAUCCCCAACCCCGACAAGUACUCUUAAUUACUGAACCCCAUGUACUGGUCAGUAUUAAGCUGGCCUGAAACACACACACACACACACACACACACACACACAAAAGACUUGCUUUAUGAUACCUUCCAUAUAGAGUGUUUAAGGUGUCAGACGAGAUGACGACACAAUUAGCUAGAUUCCAGAAUGGGGAUUCCAAUGAACCAAUCAGGGAACGCAAUUUUAGAGAGACAAAGGCCGAAUGCUAUUAAGGAAGAACAAAAUGUGAUUGGUUACUACGAAAUUAGUUUCCUCAUUGGGCAACCACAGGCCUUCCAAUCCUUGCACUCAGGACCUCACUACAACAGUGGAAACUGGCCUGUCUAGGACAUUUGGUGAUCAUCUAUUUACUCUCCUCCCCACCUCCAUCCCAAGGAAAGCCAAAUAACAAGUUUCGGUUUGGUUACAUAGA
This is a non-coding RNA of Rattus norvegicus (Norway rat), 1190 nucleotides long. Lineage: Eukaryota; Metazoa; Chordata; Mammalia; Rodentia; Muridae. The record is from RefSeq and is a predicted model, not a curated record.